GCGGUUGUAGUUCAACGGUUAGAACGUGCGGUUGUGGUCCGUAAAACGGGAGUUCGAUUCUCCCCUUCCGCU
Molecule: transfer RNA, 72 nt
Filed under: Candidatus Pacearchaeota archaeon
Lineage: Archaea; Nanobdellati
Description: tRNA-His
Rfam family: tRNA
About the family: Transfer RNA (tRNA) molecules are approximately 80 nucleotides in length.
Source: RNAcentral